UUUAAGGAUGUCGUCUAUAAAUGUCUAAGUUUAAGUUUCUGCUAGUUUGGCCUCGAAAUGGCUCAAAUAAUUCAGAACAUUAUGUUGCGUAUAGCAGCUCUGAAAUUUGGACAGCCCCAAGUUAUUAACUUUAGAGCCAAAUUCCGACACCUUCGGGUACUUAUCUCAGUCCGAGACCUAAAUGAAAGUUUUAGGCGACGUUCUGAACAUUAAGAAUGUCAAUUUUAUUUAGUGGUCGGACUGUUUUAAGUAAACGGUUUCAAUAGCCGAAAUUGGCUAGAAACCUAGUUUUGGAUUAAUUAAUUAUAGUUAGAUUGUAAUUAAUUCGAGUUAUUAUCGAAAUUGUGUAGACUUGACGAGACGACUACCAAUGGAACCCAAAACUUACGAAACGCGAGAUCGCUAGGUAUUAUCGAAGAUUAUGGAUAGCAAGCGUGUGUUUUUCAGGUACCUAGAUUCUAGACGUAGCUAGAAGUUCGUCUUUAACCGGAAGUUCCUUUGGCUAUGUAAAAUCCCGACUUCCGUAGAUGCUGCAGUAGUAUGAUGUCUGACCAGUGUCGUGGCCUAUUACAGCAGUAAAAUUUUAUAUGGUUUGUAGUUGAUGUCUGUUGUGUACAUGAGGCUGGCUACAAUAGUUAUCACGGAGGUAAAUUCCCGUGAUGUAAUUUCGACAUAGUGGUUUAUGCCGGGCUAAUUCGUUCAUGAUACAGAAACGUUAAGUCUGAGCACGUUGUAUGGUUUUACCACUGUAUAUAAAUGUAUCUUUGUUUAAAUGCUGCGUUUGUAAAGUCAUUGUAUGAUUGUUUAAUUGCGAAAAAGUUUUAGUGAA
Molecule: long non-coding RNA, 829 nt
Organism: Mercurialis annua (annual mercury)
Lineage: Eukaryota; Viridiplantae; Streptophyta; Magnoliopsida; Malpighiales; Euphorbiaceae
Exons: 2
Source: RefSeq, a predicted model, not a curated record